RNAcentral lists this long non-coding RNA (464 nucleotides) under Androctonus crassicauda. The record is from RNAcentral. Lineage: Eukaryota; Metazoa; Arthropoda; Arachnida; Scorpiones; Buthidae.
GCUGUUAAACUUUUAUUUCUCAAUUGCAUUACUUUUACAAAAGAAAUACUUGUUCCAAUAGGAAAGAAAAGUAAUUUAUUUUAAUUAAUUUUUAUCAUUUGCAUUCACUGCAAUAAAACACUCCAACUCCUUCAUAGGCCCAUAGAGUGCAAGAGGCAGAGUGAAUCCAAUCUUCUACAAUGGGUUCACACUCUUCCCCACAAACGAGGCAACAUGCCUCCUGGGUUGUAGAUACAGAAGGGUUGCUGUCCAUUUCCUUUAUGUAUGCUACUAGUCCUUCUUCCAUUUCUCUGGGGAAGACUGUCCUAAAACGACCAAGUUACUUUGCAGAAGAACCAGUCUUUAAUAUGCGGUGGAGUGUGCCAAAUGGCAUGCCGUAUGAUGAUGAAGCUUUGCGGAUGGCUACUUCUCCUUUUUUAACAGCAGCCAUUGCAGCAGCAAGGCUGGCCUCAGGCCAUUUGCCG